CUUAAGCAAAUUUUAAUAAUAUGUAUAUCGCAUUGAUAUUAAAAUUUUUUAUAAGGUAUAUCCGAUAGAUACUAUUCGUUUAGGUUAUGAUUACUUUUUUCAUAUUUCACCAUGUCUUUGCUUUUAUUUGUUUUACAGGUAAUUCUGUUUUGUAGUGUUUUUGUUUGCUUUUCAUAUUCUUCAUCUCUCUUUUCCCUCGCUUUUAUUUAUCAGGCAACUCAUAUUUCUCUAUUCUCUUUUCAAUUGCGAUUUGUGUGUUUUGAUUUUUUUAUAUUGUAUUAUGCAUAUGUGUUAUGAUAUUACCGAGUAGUUAUAGCUUUUUGUGCGGUUAUAUUUUUUUUCUUUUGUUUUGCUUGGUAGUGUUGCCGUAUUCUCAAUAUAUUUCGGAUUUAAUUAAAAUAUUCAAAUAGUGCAAUAGCAGAAUUUCCUUCGAUAUGGACAAAUUUACAUCUUAAGUUAUUCUAUUUGCAAUUGUGCAUUUAAAAAGUUAAAAACAUUAAUCUUAGAUGAUGUAUAAAGCUGUUGCGAAAUAUUGAGUUUAGAUUGCAGUAUGUGCAUCACUGUAAACAGGUUCAAUUUCAAUGAGUGUGUACGCCGCAAAUGAAAGUUUCUAAGUUUGUUCACUAAUAAUCCCGGUUAUUGAAUCGGUACUGCGGAAGAAUUCCAAGGACAAGAACGCGACAUAAUAUUGAUCUCAACAAUGCAGAUCAAGCAAGGAGGUUAUACCUAACGAUUUGCGCCAUGCAUUAGGUUUCAUCGAAAACGAGAAACGGGUUAACGCAGCGAUAACUCGACCUCGUUACCUUCUAUAUAUAUACGGCAACCCCGAUCUAAUCCUUUUGGAUCCUCAUUGGCGCAUGUUUAUCAAGUACUGCGUCGACAACGAUGCCUACCUUGGUUAUGAUUUGCCGGAAAUUGUCUGACUUGAAUUACCUUUAAUGAUUUAUUUUCUUUAAGAACUUCCAAUUAUCAAUACUGUUAUUAUU
This is a long non-coding RNA of Glossina fuscipes, 986 nucleotides long. RefSeq lists it as uncharacterized. The record is from RefSeq and is a predicted model, not a curated record. NCBI's taxonomy places the organism in Eukaryota, Metazoa, Arthropoda, Insecta, Diptera, Glossinidae. The transcript is spliced from 3 exons.